UUUUGAUUGUUGCUCAGAAAGCCGUGCAUUUGAAACGGGUCGCUUUCGAGCAGUAAUCAAAGUC
This 64-nucleotide microRNA precursor is filed under the name Aedes aegypti (yellow fever mosquito). Its description in RNAcentral is "Aae-Mir-315_pre stem-loop". It matches the Rfam family "mir-315 microRNA precursor family", at positions 12 to 75 of the family's 83-position model. The record is from RNAcentral. Lineage: Eukaryota; Metazoa; Arthropoda; Insecta; Diptera; Culicidae.